GGGUGGUAAAUUUCAUCUAAAGCUAAAUAUGGGCCGGAGACCGAUAGCGCCAAGUAGAGUGAUCGAAAGAUGAAAAGCACUUUGGAAAGAGAGUUAAACAGCACGUGAAAUUGUUGAAAGGGAAGCGCUUGCGACCAGACUCGCCCGGGGGGGCUCAGCCGGCUCUCGUGCCGGUGCACUCCCCCCCGGGCGGGCCAGCGUCGGUUUGGGCGGCCGGUCAAAGGCCCCCGGAAUGUGUCGCCCUCCGGGGCGUCUUAUAGCCGGGGGUGCAAUGCGGCCAGCCCAGACCGAGGAACGCGCUUCGGCUCGGACGCUGGCGUAAUGGUCGUAAGCGGCCCGUCUUGAAACACGGAC
RNAcentral lists this ribosomal RNA (354 nucleotides) under Rasamsonia argillacea. RNAcentral describes it as "partial 28S ribosomal RNA". It matches the Rfam family "Eukaryotic large subunit ribosomal RNA", at positions 294 to 666 of the family's 3401-position model. Lineage: Eukaryota; Fungi; Ascomycota; Eurotiomycetes; Eurotiales; Trichocomaceae. The record is from RNAcentral.